AUCUUCCGCAAUGGGCGAAAGCCUGACGGAGCAACGCCGCGUGAGUGAUGAAGGGUUUCGGCUCGUAAAACUCUGUUAUUAGUGAAGAACAAAUGUGUAAGUAACUGUGCACAUCUUGACGGUAACUAAUCAGAAAGCCAAGGCUAAAUACGUGCAAGCAGCCGCGGUAAUACGUAGGUUGCAAGCGUUAUCCGGAAUUAUUGGGCGUAAAGCGAGCGUAGGCGGUUUCUUAAGUCUGAUGUGAAAGCCCACGGCUCAACCGUGGAGGGUCAUUGUAAACUGGGAAACUUGAGUGCAGAAGAGGAAAGUGGAAUUCCAUGUGUAGCGGUGAAAUGCGCAGAGAUAUGGAGGAACACCAGUGGCGAAGGCGACUUUCUGGUCUGUAACUGACGCUGAUGUGCGAAAGCGUGGGGAUCAAACA
Molecule: ribosomal RNA, 421 nt
Filed under: uncultured bacterium
Lineage: Bacteria
Description: bacterial SSU rRNA
Rfam family: Bacterial small subunit ribosomal RNA
Source: RNAcentral